Long non-coding RNA from Monodelphis domestica (gray short-tailed opossum), 328 nucleotides. RefSeq lists it as uncharacterized. The record is from RefSeq and is a predicted model, not a curated record. NCBI's taxonomy places the organism in Eukaryota, Metazoa, Chordata, Mammalia, Didelphimorphia, Didelphidae.
AUUUCUCUGGAGAGAAAAGAGGUUUAGGAAAGAAGGAGGGAAAUUGACAGGGAAGGUGAUACUGACACAGACUUUUAGCCUGAGAUAGUUAAGCAGGAGAUUGAGAAAUGAUACAUCUGAGAACCAGGACCAUAACCUUGGACUUCCUGACUCCCGGGUCAGCUGCCAUCCACUAUAUCAUGCUGCCUCUCUUCAGGGAGCCCAGGAGGAAAAUCACCAAGCAGCCCCAGGGAGUACUGGCAGCUUUCAGCAGAAACCCAAGUGCCCACUUCCCAAAAAAACAGUAGUGUUUCUUCUCUUCCCUUUCCAACAUAAACCUGUUACUUAC